Molecule: ribosomal RNA, 497 nt
Filed under: uncultured bacterium
Lineage: Bacteria
Description: partial 16S ribosomal RNA
Rfam family: Bacterial small subunit ribosomal RNA
Source: RNAcentral
GAUGAACGCUGGCGGCGUGCCUAAUACAUGCAAGUCGAGCGAACAGAUGAGGAGCUUGCUCCUCUGACGUUAGCGGCGGACGGGUGAGUAACACAUGGAUAACCUACCUAUAAGACUGGGAUAACUUCGGGAAACCGGAGCUAAUACCGGAUAAUAUAUUGAACCGCAUGGUUCAAUAGUGAAAGACGGUUUUGCUGUCACUUAUAGAUGGAUCCGCGCCGCAUUAGCUAGUUGGUAAGGUAGCGGCUUACCAAGGCAACGAUGCGUAGCCGACCUGAGAGGGUGAUCGGCCACACUGGAACUGAGACACGGUCCAGACUCCUACGGGAGGCAGCAGUAGGGAAUCUUCCGCAAUGGGCGAAAGCCUGACGGAGCAACGCCGCGUGAGUGAUGAAGGUCUUCGGAUCGUAAAACUCUGUUAUUAGGGAAGAACAAAUGUGUAAGUAACUAUGCACGUCUUGACGGUACCUAAUCAGAAAGCCACGGCUAACUACGUG